UUAGUUUGGACGUGUCUAAUAAAGUUGGCAAUAAAUGAUAAAUUUGCAAUAAACAAAUGUGUGUCCCAUCGACGACUAAGCGUAACUGAUUCGUAGGCAAUUCAACGUAUCUGUGGUCAGACGAAUAUCGAGUUGCCAACCGGAGAGUUGUGCGUUACGGUCUAUUUUGUGUGAAAAUUAGAUUUUUUAACUCUCAAAAUUAUUGUUCGGAAAGUGUAUGUAAAGUGUUGCAAAUUAUAAAAAAAUAACAAUUUGAGUAUUCAUAUUCGAAUGUAACAACAAUAGCAACAAAUUAAUAUUUGUAAAUUGAAAUAAAAAAGUUUGUGCUCCUGCUUUAUGCCGCUUUGGUAGCUGAUCUUGGAAUUGUUAUACAAAAAGAUUAUUAAUUCAAUUUCGAGGACGUAACGGAACAAAAACGGCGCAUACGAGUGUGUGUUUACAAGAGACUAUAGAUACUACUUGUAUAUAUGUACGUAUGACACGGCAUAUUGACAGCUGAACCGCUAGACGCGCUGAAAAAAGGGUGACUAAAGAGGUUUGCUGAAGGCAAAAGGAAGCGACGACAGUUGUGACACUUUCGCCGACACGACGGGCUGCAAUAGAGAAUAGCGGACAGAAACAAAAACUAGUGAAAUUUACAUACAUAUAUGUAUGUAUAUGAAAAAGGAAGGAAAGGAGUAAAACAGUCAAACGAAAGCGACGCUUGACAGGCGACGAGGCGCCACAAUUGAAAGCACACAUCCAUACAUACACACACACGUAGAGCGAAAUAGUGGCGCGCAUAAACCACAAAAAGGUGGCAGGCAACCGCUAACGGCAUAAGACAACUGUGGAAUGACAUAGAAACAGUUAUUAAUUACUGAGUCGUAAACACGGACAAGCUCACUCCUAAACAUAUUACAAUUAACAUUUAGACGCAAAUACCUAUCUCAAAUGCAGCUGAGGCGUAAAUUUCAAACAUAUCUUAAUUUCUAAAAACACAUAAAAGUACAGUUAUAAGCGCAACUGUGGAAUACUCAAAAAAGUAGCAGCUUAAGUGUUAAAAAACGAUCAACAAUAAGUUAAAUAUUUAUUUACAAACUAAGAACUCAGCACAACAACAAAAUGCGGCUGUUAAUAUUCAUUUUGGCCUGCUUGGCACCCUACAUUAAUGCAUAUCAUGUGUCAGCCGCCUCAGCGGGCGUGUCCUUCAUGAAUGAAAACUAUCUGGACCAGCGAGAGUCACAAGUGUACAACACACAGAAUGCCGCAUCGAAGGCAUUGCGUAAUAGGCGCAUGUACGCCAUGUGUCCGCCACACUUCCAACGUGUCGGCUCCGAGUGCUACUCGUUGCUGCCACAGGCCAGCAGCUGGCUGGAGGCGCACUUCUUCUGCAAAGACAAGAACGCGAAAUUGGCGGAACCACAGAAUAGAGCCGAUCGGAAAUUGCGCGUUUUCCUCAAACAAUACGACGCACAGCGGGGAUUAACUGGUCCCAUUUGGAUUGGCGCCACCUACGAUUGGCAAAGCAAUGUGUGGCAGUGGAGCAUUAGCGGCAAGAACUUAACAUAUGACUCCUUCAGUCGCAUGGAACCUGAGAUCAGACAGAACCUGGAAAACCAUUGUGCUGUGUAUGACCCAAAUCUAGACUAUAGAUGGUCUGCUCGCCCCUGUCCGGAUAGAUUCCGUUUCAUCUGUCAACAUAAAAUGCCAAAAGUCAGCGAGAAGAAUCGAGGCAAGGUCUAUACGCGUUGGAAUGCCACCUACCCCAAUGAGUAUGCGAAUGAAGUCAUAUUGGAAGUGAUGGAUCAGCCGGGCAAAAAUGGACGCAGAUCCAAUGUCAUCGUAAAGGCCGACGGCAGUGACGAACAGAUCGUGCUACCGAAACCACGCGGCAGAGCCGGACACAAUCGUGGACGCACAGGACGUCGUCCAAACCGACCGACCACAAUCCAUCCGAACGAUAUCGAUGCACAAGCGACCUCGAACUCGCCAACUUUGGCACAUUACAACGAAAUACCGGUGCCAGCUACAGCAGCGCCCAACGCGCCCAACGCAGCCAAUCGGGCGCGAAACGGACAAAAGCAAAUGCCGCAUGAUCGUGUCGUAUGGCGACAACGGCAGAAGGAGAAGCGCCGUUUGGAGCGCAAGAGACAGCGCGCACAGCAAAUGCAGAAGGAGAAGGAACGCAAAUGGAACGAACAACGGCUGCGCAUACUGGCGAAUCAAGAGCGUGAACGACAACGGCACCUGCAGGAACAAGAACAACAGGACCAACAACCGAAAUCAUACGAACAAACCGAACAGCCGCGACGUGAACUGGAUGAACUGAGACAGCGCGAAGCCAUCGAUCUGGAACGACAACGCCAGCAGCAACUGGCCGAAGCGGAAGUCAAACGACGCGAAUAUGAAAGUCGGCAUCAAGAAUUGGAAGUGCUGAAGAAGCAACUUGCCGAGGAGAAGAAGAAGCGCGACGAUGAAUAUAGCAGCGCAGAACGCAUACGACAGGAACGUAUCGAACGGCAGCGAGAACGUGAAGAGAAGGAGCGCAAAGAACGUGAGGAACAAAUGAAAAAAGAGCAGGAAGAACGCGCCAAAGAAGAAGCGAAACGUGAACAAGAACGACUGGAGACGGAGCGGCGACAGCUCGAAGAAUACGAAGAACGUUUAAAGCAAGCGCGCGAUGAACGUGAACGUGAACUACACGAACAGCAAGAACGUAAGCGGCAAGAGGACGAGGCCAACCGACGACGCUUGGAGGAAGAAGAGAAGCGGCGGCAAGAAGAGAUUAAACAACAAUUGGAGGAAGAAGAAGAACGCUUGAAACUGGAACAGCUGGAAGAAACACGCAAGCUGGAGCGACAAGAACUAGAACGACUGGCGGAAGAAAAUCGACGACGCGAAGAGAAGCUACGCCAGCGACAGGAGGAGAUCGCCCGCCGCGAAGAGGAGCAACGUAAAAUCGAAGAAGAAGAGGAGCGCAUAAAGAAGGAACUCGAAGAGGCGGAACAACGACGCAAGGCGGAACACGAAGCGCAAAUCAAGCAGGAGGAAGAAGCGGUCAAGGCGCGUGCCGAAGCCGAACAAAGAGCAGCCGAGGAGGAGAAACGUAAGCGCCAAGAGCGUUUCGAUGCGUUGAAAAAGCAAGAUGACGAACGCCUGCGCCAAGAGAAGGAGGAGAAGAAGCGCAAAUAUGCAGAGCGCCUAUCGCGCCUCUCACCGGAAGAUCAGCGCAAAUUCUUCGAAAUGCGCAAACGGCGAAAGGCCAAGAAGACACAAGAAUUGCUGCAACAAAAACAGACAGCCAAUGGCGGCAACGAGGCAUACGAGGAAGAAUAGAGGAGCGGCGGCGGGUGGAAAUUCAACAAAUCAAAAUGGAUAUUAGAAUUUAACGUAAGAAACUCAAAGCUCCACCAAACAGUCGACUGUAUUUAUAUUGGUUUUGCUUGAUCCCCGCAACCUCAUGCGAAAUAUUAUUUAAUUAAAAUAAGUCAUAAGCAUAAAUAUUUUUUUAUAAAUUUAAGUCGUUGCUGCCAUUAUUUCACUUGAAUAGUUGUACUCGUGAACGCUCAAUGUUGUUUUUUAGCUCCUUGCACGCUCUCCAUUUUAUAUUGUCACAUAUACAUAGCUAACAUAUGCAUACAUGCAUUUGUGUAUGUGUGUGUAUAAAUAAGAAAUUGAAAGAAAAUCUUAUAAUUGGUUUGAAAGGAAAUCUUGUUUAAGUCGUAAGAAAAAUUACCGCUAAGGCACUACAUAGUAUUAGCUUUAGUAGCACACGAGCGGCGCUCCAGUGACUUCGUCUACUGCUCGGCAACUGCGCCAGCUACACUCGAUUGUAAAUUUACGAAAAAUUAAUAUUAUUAAUUUAUAAGUGGGCGACAGGCAGCCGAAGAGGAUUAAUAAAAAUUAAAGAAAUACUUCAAAAUUAAUUGAAUAAAAUAAAAAUAAAAA
This 3930-nucleotide unclassified non-coding RNA is filed under the name Bactrocera tryoni. RNAcentral describes it as "trichohyalin, transcript variant X4". The record is from RNAcentral. Lineage: Eukaryota; Metazoa; Arthropoda; Insecta; Diptera; Tephritidae.